RNAcentral lists this ribosomal RNA (491 nucleotides) under uncultured bacterium. Its description in RNAcentral is "partial 16S ribosomal RNA". It matches the Rfam family "Bacterial small subunit ribosomal RNA", at positions 28 to 507 of the family's 1533-position model. The record is from RNAcentral.
GAUGAACGCUAGCGAUAGGCUUAACACAUGCAAGUCGAGGGGUAACGUGUUGGAAGCUUGCUUCCGAUGACGACGACCGGCGGAUGGGUGCGUAACGCGUAUGCAACUUGCCUCACAGUGGAGAAUAACCCGGAGAAAUCCGGACUAAUACUCCAUACACUCUUAAGUACGCCUGUACAUGAGAGGAAAGAUUUAUCGCUGUGAGAUAGGCAUGCGUCCUAUUAGGUAGUUGGUGAGGUAACGGCUCACCAAGCCGACGAUAGGUAGGGGUGCUGAGAGGCAGAUCCCCCACAUUGGGACUGAGACACGGCCCAAACUCCUACGGGAGGCAGCAGUGAUGAAGAUUGGUCAAUGGAGGAAACACUGAACCAGCCAAGUCGCGUGAAGGAAGAAUGUCCUAAGGAUUGUAAACUUCUUUAGCGAGCGAGUAAGGACUUCCACGUGAUGGGAGUUUGAAAGUAGCUCGAGAAUAAGUAUCGGCUAACUCCGUG